This 162-nucleotide non-coding RNA is filed under the name uncultured Acetatifactor sp. The record is from RNAcentral. Lineage: Bacteria; Bacillati; Bacillota; Clostridia; Lachnospirales; Lachnospiraceae.
UUUCGGUCCGGUGAAAAGGGAAGCAGGUGAAAGUCCUGCACGAACCCGUCGCUGUAAGAGAGGAGCAUUUUUUCAGAAUAAAACCACUGGGAUAGUUUCAAAAUUCCGGGAAGGUGAGAAAAUGUGUGGAUGCUCAAGUCAGAAGACCUGCCUUUUGUGUAU